GAUCUACUUAAAACUACUCCUAGGAAGAAUAGUAAAUGCGGGAAAAGAAAAGUUACAGGUAAACUACUCCUAAAGAAAGCAGGAAAUUGUAAGGAAUUAAGGGUGGUCUUUUGUUCACAGGAAAAAAGACAUUUUUUUAGGGCGUUAUUACCCUAUUUAUAGAUCGCCUCUUGAUCAGUUAUUGUUCUUACACGAUCGGCCACUAUCUCCUAAUAUCCCGAACCACCUCCAGCUGAUUGGAACCGCAUGCAACUGCGUGCGGUUACUAUAA
Molecule: long non-coding RNA, 271 nt
Filed under: Ananas comosus (pineapple)
Lineage: Eukaryota; Viridiplantae; Streptophyta; Magnoliopsida; Poales; Bromeliaceae
Description: long non-coding RNA (ACOM_LNC001361)
Source: RNAcentral